GUCUCCGGUCAUAUCAGCCUGAAGGUGUCAGAUCUCGUCUGAUCUCAGAAGCUAAGAAUCUGCUAAACUGUACUUAAAAAACUGGAAAUA
Molecule: ribosomal RNA, 90 nt
Organism: Bison bison bison
Lineage: Eukaryota; Metazoa; Chordata; Mammalia; Artiodactyla; Bovidae
Source: Ensembl